AGUGAGCGGGAAAAGCUCAAUUUAAAUCUGGCAGUGUAUUCUGUCCGAGUUGUAGUCUAGAGAAGCAUCAUCCGUGCUGGACCAUGUACAAGUCUCUUGGAACAGAGUGUCAUAGAGGGUGAGAAUCCCGUCCUUGACAUGGACUCCCAGUACUUUGUGUUGUGCUCUCAACGAGUCGAGUUGUUUGGGAAUGCAGCUCAAAAUGGGUGGUAAAUUCCAUCUAAAGCUAAAUAUUGGCGAGAGACCGAUAGCGAACAAGUACCGUGAGGGAAAGAUGAAAAGCACUUUGGAGAGAGAGUUAAACAGUACGUGAAAUUGUUGAAAUGGAAACGCUUGAAGUCAGUCGCGUUCUCUGGGAUUCAGCCUGGCUUUUGCUUGGUGCAUUUCCCGGUCUACGGGCCAGCAUGAAUUUUGACCAAUGGAAAAAGGCUUGGGGAAUGUGGCACCUUCGGGUGUGUUAUAGCCCCUUGUCACAUACGUUGGUUGGGAUUGAGGUCUUAGUGCACGCUUCGGUUGUGCUUUGAUGCUGGCGUAAUGGCUUUAAACGACCCGUCUUGAAACACGGACCAAGGAGUCUAACAUGUCUGCGAGUGUUUGGGUGCAAAACCCGAGCGCGAAAUGAAAGUGAUAGUUGGGAACCUCUUUAGAGGGGCACCGACGCCCGGACCAGACCUUCUGUGACGGAUCCGAGGUAGAGCAUAUAUGUUGGGACCCGAAAGAUGGUGAACUAUGCCUGCAUAGGGUGAAGCCAGAGGAAACUCUGGUGGAGGCUCGUAGCGAUUCUGACGUGCAAAUCGAUCGUCAAAUGUGGGUAUAGGGGCGAAAGACUAAUCGAACCAUCUAGUAGCUGGUUCCCUGCCGAAGUUUCC
Molecule: ribosomal RNA, 869 nt
Filed under: Rhizoctonia solani
Lineage: Eukaryota; Fungi; Basidiomycota; Agaricomycetes; Cantharellales; Ceratobasidiaceae
Description: LSU rRNA
Rfam family: Eukaryotic large subunit ribosomal RNA
Source: RNAcentral